CUGCAUUUGUUUUUUCUCAGGAUAUGAGAUCACAUCAGAUUGAUAAAAAUUCAACAAAAUUAUCAGCUGGUCAAUCUCUGAACUUGAUCAAAUUCUUGUUCAUUAUUUGAUAAAAGUUAUAAAUGCACAAAGUAAAAAUCUCUGGUACUUACAGUCUUUGUCGAGUUUGGUUCCUCCACCGAAAGUCGACCACAGUGAUACAGACUCAUUAGGUGCUCGUACAAAAACCUCCUGCACUGUGAACAACAGUCUGUCCACUGAAGAGUCACUUGUUUCUGGUUAAACUACACAAUUUACACUGAAUAUUUAUAUUGAGCUAAUGUGGCUGGAAAUUUCAUCAAGAUUGAUUAAUUAAAAAAAAAAAAACAUUUUAAUUUGUCUUACUUCUUAACAUUGAGAGACAAAAAGUUGAUUUAACUUUGUCAUGCAUUAAUGUUUUGAAACAUGGUUUGACUUCAUUUGAAAGCUAUAAAACAGACAGGAUGGUUCAAAAGAAUUAAAACAAAAUGUUUGGAAAAUUCUAUUGUAAAUCUACUCACCCUUUAAUUCAACUGAAAUACACAUAUUUGCAUCAAUGAAAGUGACACAAUUUAAAUCCAGAUGCUGACGACCCUCAAUUGUGCUUCUUCAUAUUUAGUGUAAAUCCAAACAGCAACGCUCCUGAGUUUGUGUCCCACGUCACCUUCAGUCCGCUCAGAGCAGAGGAAUAAUUUCCAUAGAGAGGAGGCUUUGCAUCGUCAGCUGAUCCUCCACUGAACUGAGAAGCUUUAUAGUCCUGUGACUCCAACUCUGCAGGACUCAGAUCCGUCAGUCCACCACAACCACCAUGACUCUCAUCACCCUCCUCAUCUGGACGCUGGCCUGCUGCAGCUUCACAGGAUGCAGCGGCCAGAUGACUGUGACUCAGCCUCCAGUCGUGACAUUUACUCCAGGAUCCACUGUGACACUGACCUGUAAAACCAACCCCAGUGUUUAUACGUAUAAUUCUAAAGAUUGGCUGUCCUGGUACCAGCAGAAACCUGGACAGGCUCCCAAGCUUCUUAUAUACUUAGCAUCAACUCUUAAUUCAGGAACUCCCUCUCGAUUCAGUGGCAGUGGCUCUGGUUCUAGCUUCACCUUAACCAUCAGAGGUGUUCAGGCUGAAGAUGUUGGAGAUUAUUACUGUCUCGGUAGUCAUGAUGGCUAUCUGUGGACUUUCGGUGGAGGAACCAAACUCGUCAGUAACGUGGGUGUGGUGCGGCCCACCCUGACCCUCCUCCCCCCCUCCAGUGAAGAGCUGCAGCAGGGCACUGUCACUCUGGUGUGUGUGGCCAGCGGGGGCUUCCCCUCAGCCUGGAGCCUGGGCUGGAAGGUGGGGGGCAGCAGCAGGUCCUCAGGGGUGUCUCACAGCCCGGGGGUCCUGGGGGGGGGCGGCCACUACAGCUGGAGCAGCACCAUGAGCCUCCCAGCAGAGAAGUGGAGGAAGGCGUGCUCAGUGAGCUGUGAGGCCAGUCUGGACGGACAGAGCCCUGUCACUCAAACCCUGGACCCUGACCUCUGCUCGGAGUAGAGAGACGACCGGAUGGAGUCAUUGUGCUCUACUGUGGGUCUGUUUGAUUUACAUGUGUUCUACUGCAGCUCUGCAUGUCUUCAUGCCUUUUCUUCAACUCAUUACGACAGUCAAAUGCUGUAUUGUGCUACUUUUGAAACAAGAAUAAAUAUUUCAUGUUCGAAUGUCAUUUGUUUUUCACAUUUCUAUUUUUUCUUUACUAAAAUAAAAUAUAUCAUCACCAACA
Non-coding RNA from Pleuronectes platessa (European plaice), 1775 nucleotides. The record is from the annotation of a RefSeq genome assembly. NCBI's taxonomy places the organism in Eukaryota, Metazoa, Chordata, Actinopteri, Pleuronectiformes, Pleuronectidae.